This 492-nucleotide ribosomal RNA is filed under the name uncultured bacterium. Its description in RNAcentral is "partial 16S ribosomal RNA". It matches the Rfam family "Bacterial small subunit ribosomal RNA", at positions 29 to 507 of the family's 1533-position model. The record is from RNAcentral.
AGUGAACGCUGGCGGUAGGCCUAACACAUGCAAGUCGAACGGCAGCACAGUAAGAGCUUGCUCUUACGGGUGGCGAGUGGCGGACGGGUGAGGAAUACAUCGGCAUCUACUUUUUCGUGGGGGAUAGCGUAGGGAAACUUACGCUAAUACCGCAUACGACCUACGGGUGAAAGCAGGGGAUCUUCGGACCUUGCGCGAUUGAAUGAGCCGAUGUCGGAUUAGCUAGUUGGCGGGGUAAAGGCCCACCAAGGCGACGAUCCGUAGCUGGUCUGAGAGGAUGAUCGGCCACACUGGAACUGAGACACGGUCCAGACUCCUACGGGAGGCAGCAGUGGGGAAUAUUGGACAAUGGGCGCAAGCCUGAUCCAGCCAUACCGCGUGAGUGAAGAAGGCCUUCGGGUUGUAAAGCCCUUUUGUUGGGAAAGAAAAGCAGCAGGUUAAUACCCCGCUGUUCUGACGGUACCCAAAGAAUAAGCACCGGCUAACUUCGUG